GAUCAUGAAGCUGUACUCCCAGUACAGUGGCACACAAUGAUCCCCAUGCUUUGGGUGGUAUGAACAGCAGCAGGAGACCAAGUGCUUCACCUGUCUGGCUGUGAACUCCCUCUUCCCUCAGCCAUGCAGAGAUACACAGCACUGCAGAGAUUGCAGUCAAACAACUGAAAACAAGAAGAAUUCUUACAAGGAUCAUGAGGAAUUUGAAAAGACAUCAAGGCUGCAAGAAAGCCAGAAAGAUCUACAGAGACACAUAGAUGAGGCUAGACCUGAGAAUUCUACUGACACUCUCGAAGUCUGAGAAGACUGUAAAACCAUAUACUUUUUCAAAGAGGCUGCUGAAUUACUGGUCUUCCACAGUAGGUAGUAGAUAGUAGAACAGUUUAGAAAUGUUAUGUUUCACUGCUCUUCACUAAGCUCUGAAAUGUUAGAGAGAAUAACUGUAAAAAUAAUGAUGUCAUGAUUCAUAAUUUUAGUAACUGUUAAGAAUAUUACUUAUAGAAGGCUGAAAAUAAGUCAGCAUAGACCACAGAAGUUCAGGUAGUAGCAGAGAGACAGUUGUAUUACCAAAAUCCUUAAUGAACACACAUGUGAGUACAUUAGGUGCUGAAUAUUGCCAUUGACUACUCAGGCAGGCAAACCUAGCUCUUUCCAGUUCUGCAUGGAAGUGGUAACAGGGCAAGUCAGAGCAGAAGACAGAAGAGUGAGAAAGCCAGUUUCUCAGGGGAUGGGCUAGGGUAUUUUGAAUUCACAGUGACAAUUGCUCACUGUUUUUGGCAUUGUUGAGUGAAGAAAAACAUCACACGACUACUGCUGCUCAUGGGGGAUAAAUGCUGAAGACAGCUGGACCUGUUUCCAGUAAAGCAAUGAGCUGUAUUUUUUGUUCAUCACUCAGUUGUAGACUGGCAUCAAGAGGAUCAAAAAUACAUGGAGUGUGACAGAA
This is a long non-coding RNA of Colius striatus (speckled mousebird), 943 nucleotides long. RefSeq lists it as uncharacterized. NCBI's taxonomy places the organism in Eukaryota, Metazoa, Chordata, Aves, Coliiformes, Coliidae. The record is from RefSeq and is a predicted model, not a curated record. The transcript is spliced from 2 exons.